UAUAUAUAUAUAUAUUAUAACAAGAUUUGUAAGUUGAAAAGGACUCAAAUUUUUUUAUUUAACAAAAAUUAUUAGUAAAGGGUUGCAAUAUCAUGUACGUGUCUGAAUGUAUUUUCAAGGGCACUCUUUAUAAUAAUUUAAUCCUUCCCAUUCUUUCUUUGUUAAUACUCCUUGUGUGCCAUUGAAAUAUAACUGUUUGAAGGUGUAAUGAAUACUUCUCUUUUCUUGUUCUUCCUCUCUUUUGGCAUAAAGAAAUACGUAUAUGUUUAGCUGGUUUGCGAAGCUUAUUUCCCACUUUGGCAUUUGGUAUCUAAGGAACUGCCAUCAGCAUAAAGAUAUCAUUAUUUUUAUAAGGUAAAUAUUGUGUGUAAUUAUAUUUACAGAAUUUACACCAUCUGAUUAUAGUUACAUUAGAUUAACAAGAUAUUGCAUAAGAGUUACUCACUGGAAAGCAUUUACCACAUGCAAAUAAUGUUUGAAAUGAUAAUCUGUGUACAGUCUUGCUUGUUAUAAGUGCCUAAGGUUACACUUAAUUUUUUUUGAAGCAGCAGAUAAACGGAGAAAUCAUAAAAAGGUCAUCCUUUUGCUUUCCGUAGACAAGUCGUAGAAACCUAGAAAUUAUGUCACCAGAUAUGAACAUUGUCUUAAAUAUCAUAUUAGGUUUAUGUAGUUUUUUUUAUAUAUAUAUUUAUUGGGGACUGUAAACAGCUCAUUAAAUAAACUUUUCAUUGGUACAGUA
Long non-coding RNA from Penaeus monodon (black tiger shrimp), 739 nucleotides. RefSeq lists it as uncharacterized. The record is from RefSeq and is a predicted model, not a curated record. NCBI's taxonomy places the organism in Eukaryota, Metazoa, Arthropoda, Malacostraca, Decapoda, Penaeidae. The transcript is spliced from 2 exons.